Molecule: unclassified non-coding RNA, 1512 nt
Filed under: Hevea brasiliensis (rubber tree)
Lineage: Eukaryota; Viridiplantae; Streptophyta; Magnoliopsida; Malpighiales; Euphorbiaceae
Source: RNAcentral
AGUGGGUGAAGGAAGUUGACUGCACAUUUCUGCUCCUACAUUUCUCUUCUUCCCUAGAAAUGGAGACAGUUGAUUCAACUCGAGCAUUUGUGAAGAACGUCAAACGACUCAUUGUCAAGGUUGGGACUGCAGUUGUGACUCGAGCUGAUGGAAGAUUAGCACUUGGAAGAAUGGGAUCACUGUGUGAGCAGAUUCGGGAACUUACCUCUCAAGGCUUUGAAGUUAUUUUGGUCACCUCAGGUGCUGUUGGUGUUGGCCGUCAGCGCCUUCGAUAUAGGAAGCUUAUUAAUAGCAGCUUUGCGGACCUUCAAAAGCCUCAAGGUGAUCUUGAUGGCAAGGCUUGUGCCGCUGUAGGUCAGAAUGGCCUCAUGGCUCUGUAUGAUACGUUGUUCAGUCAGUUGGAUGUAACCUCAGCUCAGCUUAUGGUGACUGAUAAUGACUUUAGAGAUCCAGAUUUUAGGAGACAACUCAAUGAAACUGUAAACUCAUUGCUCUGUCUAAAAGUUGUACCUAUAUUUAAUGAGAACGAUGCUAUCAGCACGCGGAAAGCUCCUUAUGAGGAUUCUUCUGGAAUCUUUUGGGAUAAUGACAGUUUGGCAGCUCUAUUGGCUUUGGAGCUAAAAGCUGAUCUGCUUGUUUUGUUGAGUGAUGUUGAAGGCCUUUACACUGGCCCUCCAACCGAUCCACAAUCAGAGCUAAUUCAUACAUAUGUUAAGGAGAAGCAUGAGGGAUUGAUUACUUUUGGAGACAAGUCUAGAGUUGGAAGAGGUGGUAUGACUGCCAAGGUAAAAGCUGCAGUUUAUGCGGCUUAUGCUGGCAUUCCCGUUGUGAUAACUAGUGGCUUUGCCAACAAUAAUAUCAUUAAAGCACUAGAUGGACAACGUGUUGGCACUCUCUUUCAUCGUGAAGCCAUUAAAUGGGCAUCAAUAGGAGAUUUUGAUGCUCGAGAGAUGGCAGUUUCUGCGAGGGAAUGUGCCAGGCGGCUUCAGACCCUCUCUUCUCAAGAAAGGAGUAAAAUUUUGCUAGAUAUAGCUGAUGCACUGGAAGCAAAAGAAGAAGAAAUCCUGGCUGAAAAUGAAGCUGAUGUGGCUGCGGCUCAACAAGCUGGAUAUGAGAAUGCUUUGAUAUCUCGGUUAGCUAUGAAACCAGGAAAAAUUUCAAGUCUUGCAAACUCAGUCCGUGUGCUUGCUAACAUGGAUGAGCCAGUUGGCCGCAUUUUAAAGAGGACGGAGCUUGCUGAUGGAAUCAUAUUGGAGAAAACAUCAUCUCCAUUGGGUGUUCUCCUGAUUAUAUUUGAGUCACGACCUGAUGCACUGGUACAGAUAGCUUCUCUAGCAGUCCGAAGUGGGAAUGGCCUUUUGUUGAAAGGAGGGAAGGAGGCUAAAAGAUCGAAUGCAAUUUUACACAAGGUGAUUACCUCAUCCAUUCCUCCAAUUGUUGGUGAAAGACUUAUUGGGUUAGUGACUUCUAGAGAAGAGAUCCCUGAAUUGCUUAAGCUUGAUGAUGUGAUUG